CGUGCCUACGGGGCGCAGCAGUCGGGAAUAUUGCGCAAUGGGGGAAACUCUGACGCAGUGACGCCGCGUAUAGGAAGAAGGUUUUCGGAUUGUAAACUAUUGUCGUGAGGGAAGAAGAUGACAGUACCUCAGGAGGAAGCUCCGGCUAACUACGUGCCAGCAGCCGCGGUAAUACGUAGGUGGCAAGCGUUGUCCGGAUUUAUUGGGCGUAAAGCGAGUGCAGGCGGUUCAAUAAGU
RNAcentral lists this ribosomal RNA (237 nucleotides) under uncultured bacterium. RNAcentral describes it as "partial 16S ribosomal RNA". It matches the Rfam family "Bacterial small subunit ribosomal RNA", at positions 333 to 588 of the family's 1533-position model. The record is from RNAcentral.